CCURACUCCUACSGGAGGCAGCAGUGGGGAAUAUUGCACAAUGGGCGCAAGCCUGAUGCAGCAACGCCGCGUGAGGGACGACGGCCUUCGGGUUGUAAACCUCUUUUAGCAGGGAAGAAGCGAAAGUGACGGUACCUGCAGAAAAAGCGCCGGCUAACUACGUGCCAGCAGCCGCGGUAAUACGUAGGGCGCAAGCGUUAUCCGGAAUUAUUGGGCGUAAAGAGCUCGUAGGCGGUUUGUCGCGUCUGCUGUGAAAUCCGGAGGCUCAACCUCCGGCCUGCAGUGGGUACGGGCAGACUAGAGUGCGGUAGGGGAGAUUGGAAUUCCUGGUGUAGCGGUGGAAUGCGCAGAUAUCAGGAGGAACACCNAUGGCGAAGGCAGAUCUCUGGGCCGUAACUGACGCUGAGGAGCGAAAGGGUGGGGAGCAAACAGGCUUAGAUACCCUGGUAGUCCACCCCGUAAACGUUGGGAACUAGUUGUGGGGUCCAUUCCACGGAUUCCGUGACGCA
This 509-nucleotide ribosomal RNA is filed under the name Microbacterium sp. 6CCU-S4.2. Its description in RNAcentral is "bacterial SSU rRNA". It matches the Rfam family "Bacterial small subunit ribosomal RNA", at positions 331 to 850 of the family's 1533-position model. The record is from RNAcentral. Lineage: Bacteria; Bacillati; Actinomycetota; Actinomycetes; Micrococcales; Microbacteriaceae.